CAAAAACAUUGCCCCUUGACCAUAAAUAUGGGGUAUUUCCUGCCCAGUGAUACUAAUUCAACGGCCGCGGUAUCCUAACCGUGCAAAGGUAGCAUAAUCACUUGCUCAUUAAUUGUGGGCUAGAAUGAACGGAUUAACGAAAUAUAAGCUGUCUCUGUGAGGCCACUAAAAACUAUUCUCUAAUUGAAGAAAAUUAGAUCUAUUUGAAGGACAAGAAGACCCUAUAGAGCUUUAUCUAAUAACAUACUAAUUAUAUUUUUCUUAGAUUCGGUUGGGGCGACCCGGGAAGUUACUUAUCAUCCCUAACAAAAUAGAUUCAUACAUCUAAACAUAGACCCUUAUUAAGAUCCUAAAAUCAAGCUACCUUAGGGAUAACAGGCUAAUCUCACUAAAGAGUCCUUAUCUAUAGUGAGGUUUGGCACCUCGAUGUUGGCUUAGGGAAUCCAUAUAGCGCAAAAGUUAUAUAAAGAUGGUUUGUUCAACCACUAACACCCUACAUGAUCU
RNAcentral lists this ribosomal RNA (504 nucleotides) under Dendrobaena alpina alteclitellata. Its description in RNAcentral is "partial large subunit ribosomal RNA". It matches the Rfam family "Bacterial large subunit ribosomal RNA", at positions 1808 to 2606 of the family's 2925-position model. The record is from RNAcentral. Lineage: Eukaryota; Metazoa; Annelida; Clitellata; Crassiclitellata; Lumbricidae.